AAGUCGUAACAAGGUUUCCGUAGGUGAACCUGCGGAAGGAUCAUUAUUGAAUCUUCAAUUACGUAUGUGAACUUGCUGAACCACGAAGGAAGCAGCUGUUAUUGUAGGAAAGGGGUAGCAAUAUCCGUUCCUACAGAGAAGCAGAGGGGGUGACCCUAAUGCUGAACAACGGUCAGAGACUCGUGGGUAGGCGUAACCGCUGACGGACUUUGAGCCGUCAGUCUUUUAACCAACCCUUCAUCAUUGACUUUGACUGAAAUCUUUAUUAAUUAAAGACAACUUUUAGCAACGGAUCUCUAGGCUCUC
Molecule: unclassified non-coding RNA, 306 nt
Filed under: fungal sp.
Lineage: Eukaryota; Fungi
Description: partial internal transcribed spacer region
Rfam family: Eukaryotic small subunit ribosomal RNA (bases 1-46)
Source: RNAcentral